This 105-nucleotide small nuclear RNA is filed under the name Phoenicopterus ruber ruber. The record is from RNAcentral. Lineage: Eukaryota; Metazoa; Chordata; Aves; Phoenicopteriformes; Phoenicopteridae.
AGUAUUUCUUAAUACUCACUUACAUGUGCUUAAAUGUAUCAGAGAAGAUUAGCAUGGCCCCUGUGCAAGGAUGACACACAAAUUCGUGAAGUGUUCUGUAUUUUU